CACGCCGACCAUCUCGAUUCGGCCCUUUCAAUCAGGUUUUGAGCGUGUAACGUUAAUCCCAAGCCGGGACCACGACGGCCCGCUUUAUUCCACCGUGCUAUAUAAAACGAGCCAAACGGGCGGCGGCAGAGCAGCACAAAGGCACGGGGCGAUAAGAAACAAGAGGAACGUCUACCCUUGCAGCGCUCGUUACGGGCAGCAUAACCAUAAAGGUCCGGCGGAAAACGAGUUUUCAUGGACAUAAGGGUGUAACGCAAAACGGGACCGACCGGCCCGCCAUUUCAUCCGCCUUGUGCGCCUCUAUAGCGUCCUUGUGUUUCUCAUCUUUCAGGAACGGCCACCGAAGCCAAGGCCAAACAUUUUCGACGAUACACUUCCGGUUAUACGUUCCUGUAUGUCUACUGCAUUCUGUGCGCCAGUGCGCGCCCAUGUAUAUGUUCCAAGUGAGAAUUCGUUUCAAGUGGAUCCGCCUUGCGAACUAUACAAGGCUAGAAUUCGUGAAUCGCAAUCUGGAACAUGAGGUAACUUACAUUAAAAAAUUAUUUAACUUUCGUUAAUUAGUCGGUUAUGCAUUUCAAUUUUUUUGUGCAAGCAAUGUACGCCUCUUCGGGUGUACCAGCUCAUGAACUAGAAUUGUGCUAUCUGCCACAGGCAACCCUUAAACAUUUUUGGAAGUGUUCGCUGAAACACCCGGUAUAGCUAAUAAGCCACGACGGCGAGUUGGCUUCAAGCGGCUUCGUAACUUUGCAAAUUGGCCACUUUCAAACACGAUUUUGCGUAAUUAAAUGCAGCAAUUCGCAAUAGUUCUGCACGUGCUUAGAGUCUCAUUGCAUUCUGCGUUCAGAAACGCAGCACCUGCUUCAAAACAGAGGCCAAUCAAACGCGGAUAAACCGCAGUAUAAACAAAGCCGAAAGAACGUCUGGAGUCACACGCACGAACACCGCAGACAAUAAUCCAUCCUAAUGUUUUGACAGGAAACUCAAUGGCGUAUACCCACUAUAUAAGCGCUGCGGCCUCUGUCCCGCCGUGUCGUCACCGUCAGCAAAAAAGCGCGAGACAGCGACGGACGGCACUGACUGCGCGUGCGCGCGGCGCGCGUCACGUAGAAAGACGUGACACCACGCACGCGCACAAGCUUGAGCGCCGUGAUCGGUCUCCGCACUUCUCAACCCAUCACGCUGAAGCCACACCUCGAAAGCGCCGUUACGUGGAGGAGACCCACACGUAGACACCACGACACCAUGCACACGUACCACGGCAAUCUGUAUGACUUGGGAAGACCUGUGCCCCGUUCUUGCAGCAACAGUACCGGAGCCCGCGAAUGCCUCCACGACGCAUGAAAAGCCCUCAGCUGCGAGCGCCCCGGUCCGGAGAAGGAGUCGCGGCUACGCCCACCAAUUGAAAUUACGCAGUCUCCGUGCGAAUAGGACGGCCUGAGCAAAAACCUGCCAGCGCGCGCAAAUCUCGGAAGCUAUGCGAAGACAUGCGGAGCUCAACAUCGGCUCUGUCGACGCUGCAGCCAACGCCGCGUUCGACGGUGUGCUGUCGCAGCUUUCGGGACGUCACAAGCGGGGCGGGAAACGUCAUAAGCGGGAAGCUGACACACGUGACCCUACGGUACAGAAGCGGGACCGGCGCAGAAACCGUGAGAACGUAACAAGUACAGCAAACAGGAACGUGCCAACGAGGUUCCACUGCAUAUCUGGAAUGCAAGCUGCACAUUUUGCAAAAGUUGCUCACUUAGCUACUCGUAUAGCUACAUCAGACAUUUAGGUCUGCUUAAUAAAACGUUGUGUUUGUGUGAGUGU
Molecule: long non-coding RNA, 1809 nt
Organism: Dermacentor silvarum
Lineage: Eukaryota; Metazoa; Arthropoda; Arachnida; Ixodida; Ixodidae
Exons: 3
Source: RefSeq, a predicted model, not a curated record